AUUGAACGCUGGCGGCAGGCCUAACACAUGCAAGUCGAACGAGUGGCGGACGGGUGAGUCAUGUCUGGGAACCUGCCUGAUGGAGGGGGACAAAUACUGGAAACGGUAGCUAAUCAGGCAUACCAUCGGAUGUGCCAAGGUGGGAUUAGCUAGUAGGUGGGGUAAAGGAUCACCUAGGCGACGAUCCCUAGCUGGUCUGAGAGGAUGACCAGGCACACUGGAACUGAGACACGGUCCAGACUCCUACGGGAGGCAGCAGUGGGGAAUAGUGCACAAUGUGCGCAAGCCUGAUGCAGCAACGCCGCGUGAAUGAAGAAGGCCUUCGGGUUGUAAAGUACUUUCAGCGGGGAGGCGUUACCCGCAGAAGAAGCACCGGCUAACUCCGUGCCAGCAGCCGCGGUAAUAC
RNAcentral lists this ribosomal RNA (406 nucleotides) under uncultured bacterium. RNAcentral's name for it is "partial 16S ribosomal RNA". It matches the Rfam family "Bacterial small subunit ribosomal RNA", at positions 29 to 526 of the family's 1533-position model. The record is from RNAcentral.